This 274-nucleotide ribosomal RNA is filed under the name uncultured bacterium. RNAcentral describes it as "partial 16S ribosomal RNA". It matches the Rfam family "Bacterial small subunit ribosomal RNA", at positions 523 to 796 of the family's 1533-position model. The record is from RNAcentral.
AUACGGAGGGUCCGAGCGUUAUCCGGAAUCAUUGGGUUUAAAGGGUCCGUAGGCGGGAAUCUAAGUCAGUGGUGAAAUCUUGCAGCUCAACUGUAAAAUUGCCAUUGAUACUGGGUUUCUUGAAUUAGUGUGAAGUGGUUAGAAUGUGUAGUGUAGCGGUGAAAUGCAUAGAUAUUACACAGAAUUCCAAUUGCGAAGGCAGAUCACUAACACUAUAUUGACGCUGAGGGACGAAAGCGUGGGGAGCGAACAGGAUUAGAAACCCGAGUAGUCC